Molecule: ribosomal RNA, 735 nt
Filed under: Triticum aestivum (bread wheat)
Lineage: Eukaryota; Viridiplantae; Streptophyta; Magnoliopsida; Poales; Poaceae
Description: partial small subunit ribosomal RNA
Source: RNAcentral
AGUAGCACGGCCCCUUCUUCUCCGUCUUGUACAUCUACGUCGCCCCGGCUAACCACCGGCGUCGUCAACGUCCUGGCUCGCCGUGCCAUGACCACACAGCAAAACCACCACCGAGCAGCAGCGGAAGAAUUCCCACUGCACUCGCCUGCCUCCUCCACCGGCUCCGCGGACUCCGCGCCAUGGCACCACCGCGCCCCAGCCACGCCGUCACCUGUGCUCCCGUUCCACACCAACGACGCCGACGAGAUGCUCCUGCUCCACAUGCUCUCCCAGCACCACGAGGUCCAGCACGACGCGGCCGCACCCACGAUUGCGCCGGUGAAGCGGGAGGCCAGCCAAGAGGAAGAGGAAGACAAGGCGGCCGUGGACGUCGGGCGUGCGUUCCACGGGGUGCGCAAGCGACCGUGGGGCAAGUACGCGGCGGAGAUCCGUGACUCGACGCGGAACGGCGUGCGGGUGUGGCUGGACACCUUCGACAGCCCGGAAGUUGCGGCGCUGGGGUACGACCAAGCUGCCUUCACCAUCCGUGGCGGCGCUGCUGUGCUCAACUUCCCCGCCGACCAUGUCCGGCGUUCGCUCGAGGGCGCAGCAGACGAUGUAUGCGGUCGUGCCCACGGCGUGUCGCCCGUGCUGGCGCUCAAGCGGCGGCACUCCAUGCGGAGCCGGAAGGCCACGACGGCGGGCAGGAAGGUGUAAAGGCCGCCACCCGGGGGGCGCAGCCAGAGGGCAUGGUGA